RNAcentral lists this long non-coding RNA (943 nucleotides) under Phaseolus vulgaris (common bean). RNAcentral's name for it is "long non-coding RNA (PVUL_LNC002511)". Lineage: Eukaryota; Viridiplantae; Streptophyta; Magnoliopsida; Fabales; Fabaceae. The record is from RNAcentral.
GCUACAAUAACCAAAUAUUUUCCAGAUGAAGAAUAUUAUCUCCAAGUUUUAUAUACCAGACACAAAGCUUCAAUAUGCUAAGAUCAUCAAUAAAAAAAAAUAAUAUAAGCUAAAAACAUUAAUAAAAUAAUCUCAAGUUACAAGUUAUUAGAAGGAUACAAGUUACAGCUUACAUAUGAAAAUAAGGCUUUGAAAAACUUUUGGCCACAAAGUCAAAACUUUUGAGCUCUUAACAACUGCAAUCAAAAUUGUAACCUUAUGAAGCAUAAAUUUGAUGAAAAUUGGUAGAUCAGAGCAAUCCUAAUUCCACAGAUCCAGUUCAUCAACGAAUCAAAGAUGAAGCAAAAGCUACAAAAGUACAGACAAUAAAUGACGAUUCCUAUGCAAACAAACACAAUAAAUGAAAAAUUCAAAAGAUUCUGUCAUAAAUCAAUCUUUGAAAAGUUGCAGCUGUCAGACACAAAACAUAAAAUAUUUAGUUGAUGAGGAGAACUAUGAAGCUAGUACCCCCUACAACACCACUCUAUGAAAAGAAAAAAACUUCCAACAUGAAGAGUAAUGAAAAGAAAAACAGAAAGCUUUUCACCAUAGAUCAAAAGGGUAACAAAACCAGCAUCGACCCAAAUAAAAAAAAACACACAAACAACACAAACCCGUGAAUCUGAUUGACCAACCAGAUAGCAAGAAGGAGUUGAAGAGUCAAAAGGGCAAGCAAAACAUGAAGUGCACAGAAAAUUACCAGAAGAUCCAGAGAAGAGUCCGGGUUUGCCACAAGUCAAUAAGUGAAGAACUAGAAGAUGGUUUGUGUAGAGAGUUUCAGCAUAGAAGGUGGGAAGAAAGAGAGAGAAGAGAGAAAGGGGAAAGGGACAAAGAGUUAAACUUCAUCUUGGUUUUAUUGCCAAAGAGUUGGGGUAGUCCUAGGUGAAUGUGAAGAUGGUGGGUG